CGGGGUGUGUGGAUUGUAUUAGUUAGUCAGGUAAGGAGAGUAUUAAAAGCCCAACCCGUAUAAAAUAGUCGGAUAAUUAAAUAAUACAAGUUGACACCAAACACCUGACAUAGACUAUUUACUCCUAUCCAGAGUCUAAUACGGUGUACCAAACGAGCCCUUAAAGUUACUCCAUCUGAGUAGUCAAAGGCUGGAAGUGAUAUGUCAAAAAUAAUAUAUUUAAAAAUUUGAUGUCAAAUAUUUUUUUUGUCAUAG
RNAcentral lists this long non-coding RNA (255 nucleotides) under Prunus persica (peach). RNAcentral's name for it is "long non-coding RNA (PPER_LNC007791)". The record is from RNAcentral. Lineage: Eukaryota; Viridiplantae; Streptophyta; Magnoliopsida; Rosales; Rosaceae.